GAGACUCUUCAGAGUUCCAAGCUUGGCUUAGGAUCUCCUAAGGUCAAGCUUGAGGGGGAGUGUUGAACUGAAGAGAAGAUAGAGCUUGUACAACAAUAGGGCAAGCUCAAGCUUGAGGGGGAGUGUUGAACUGAAGAGAAGAUAGAGCUUGUACAACAAUAGGGCAAGCUCUAGAAGAUGUCCAGAAGAGUUCAAUCAAGCUUCA
Molecule: long non-coding RNA, 205 nt
Filed under: Brassica napus (rape)
Lineage: Eukaryota; Viridiplantae; Streptophyta; Magnoliopsida; Brassicales; Brassicaceae
Description: long non-coding RNA (BNAP_LNC017119)
Source: RNAcentral